Molecule: ribosomal RNA, 196 nt
Filed under: uncultured bacterium
Lineage: Bacteria
Description: partial 16S ribosomal RNA
Rfam family: Bacterial small subunit ribosomal RNA
Source: RNAcentral
CUGCAACUCGACUACAUGAAGCUGGAAUCGCUAGUAAUCGCGGAUCAGAAUGCCGCGGUGAAUACGUUCCCGGGUCUUGUACACACCGCCCGUCACACCAUGGGAGUCGGGAAUGCCCGAAGCCGGUGACCUAACCGCAAGGAAGGAGCCGUCGAAGGUGGAGCCGAUGACUGGGGUGAAGUCGUAACAAGGUACC